Molecule: ribosomal RNA, 270 nt
Filed under: uncultured bacterium
Lineage: Bacteria
Description: partial 16S ribosomal RNA
Rfam family: Bacterial small subunit ribosomal RNA
Source: RNAcentral
AGCGAACGCUGGCGGCGUGCUUAACACAUGCAAGUCGAGUGCGCAGUUUUCUGUAGCAAUACAGGGAAUGGGCGCACGGCGCACGGGUGAGUAACACGUGGGCAACCUGCCCUCCAAAAGGGGAUAACCCGCCGAAAGGCGGGCUAAUACCGUAUGACAUUGCGAUUGCCUCGGCGAUUGCAAUCAAAGGCCGCAAGGCCGUUGGGGGAGGGGCCCGCGCCCGAUUAGCUAGUUGGCGAGGUAACGGCUCACCAAGGCUUUGAUCGGUAG